GAUGAACGCUGGCGGCGUGCCUAAUACAUGCAAGUCGAGCGAACAGACGAGGAGCUUGCUCCUCUGACGUUAGCGGCGGACGGGUGAGUAACACGUGGAUAACCUACCUAUAAGACUGGGAUAACUUCGGGAAACCGGAGCUAAUACCGGAUAAUAUAUUGAACCGCAUGGUUCAAUAGUGACAGACGGUUUUGCUGUCACUUAUAGCUGGAUCCGCGCCGCAUUAGCUAGUUGGUAAGGUAACGGCUUACCAAGGCAACGAUGCGUAGCCGACCUGAGAGGGUGAUCGGCCACACUGGAACUGAGACACGGUCCAGACUCCUACGGGAGGCAGCAGUAGGGAAUCUUCCGCAAUGGGCGAAAGCUUGACGGAGCAACGCCGCGUGAGUGAUGAAGGUCUUCGGAUCGUAAAACUCUGUUAUUAGGGAAGAACAAAUGUGUAAGUAACUAUGCACGUCUUGACGGUACCUAAUCAGAAAGCCACGGCUAACUACGUG
RNAcentral lists this ribosomal RNA (497 nucleotides) under uncultured bacterium. RNAcentral describes it as "partial 16S ribosomal RNA". It matches the Rfam family "Bacterial small subunit ribosomal RNA", at positions 28 to 507 of the family's 1533-position model. The record is from RNAcentral.